UCCCAUGUGGCUCAGUUGGUAGAGCAUGGUGUUUGAAACGCCAGGGUUGUGGGUGCGAUUCCCACGGGGGAC
Molecule: non-coding RNA, 72 nt
Organism: Salmo salar (Atlantic salmon)
Lineage: Eukaryota; Metazoa; Chordata; Actinopteri; Salmoniformes; Salmonidae
Source: Rfam